CCACCCAUGGAGGGUAGAACACACAUUUGCUGAAGACUUUAUGUGCUGGGCUGACUCAACUGGGCUGGAUUCCAGGCCCAUCACUGACUAUGCUUCUGUCAUUUCAACGGAGAGAAGAGGAAAUGAGGAUAAGUUCCAGAGGGAUGCAAGGGUGAAGUGCACUCACAAAGCAAGGUCAGUCAGACUUCCAAUGUCUAAUUCUCAAGGUUCUGGCGAGUGGGCUCUCGGGACUGGGCUCCAACAUCAUCUUCUCCGAGAGGCCUGCCUAGAUCCUCCCCUCCCUCAAACCAGAUGUGGUCUCUCAUUCUCUUCUGUUCACCAAAACAAGGUCUUGCCCACAGCAGGUAGAUGUAGAUCACAUUCACUGGCUCACUCCUAAGGAACAUGGUAGCCUGCCCCAGCUUGCAGCCUUCCAGUAUGUCUAAGCCUCACCAGAACUUUAAAUGACAUCAGCCAUGUACAUGAAUAAAUACA
This 474-nucleotide long non-coding RNA is filed under the name Homo sapiens (human). RNAcentral describes it as "non-protein coding lnc-C11orf86-2:2". Lineage: Eukaryota; Metazoa; Chordata; Mammalia; Primates; Hominidae. The record is from RNAcentral.